GUAGUGUUUUUGAUUCCAUAAAGGGACAACACUUGAAACACUUGCAGGAGUGGUUUCCCUGGUAGAUCCAGAGGUGGAUCAAUCAAGGCCUUUCCUAUGACCAUAA
Molecule: long non-coding RNA, 106 nt
Organism: Asparagus officinalis (garden asparagus)
Lineage: Eukaryota; Viridiplantae; Streptophyta; Magnoliopsida; Asparagales; Asparagaceae
Exons: 3
Source: RefSeq, a predicted model, not a curated record